This 1518-nucleotide ribosomal RNA is filed under the name Drosophila sechellia. RNAcentral describes it as "eukaryotic LSU rRNA". It matches the Rfam family "Eukaryotic large subunit ribosomal RNA", at positions 1880 to 3185 of the family's 3401-position model. The record is from RNAcentral. Lineage: Eukaryota; Metazoa; Arthropoda; Insecta; Diptera; Drosophilidae.
UCUCUAGUCGAUAGAUAUGUAGUAAGGGAAGUCGGCAAAUUAGAUCCGUAACUUCGGGAUAAGGAUUGGCUCUGAAGAUUGAGAUAGUCGGGCUUGAUUGGGAAACAAUAACAUGGUUUAUGUGCUCGUUCUGGGUAAAUAGAGUUUCUAGCAUUUAUGUUAGUUACUUGUUCCCCGGAUAGUUUAGUUACGUAGCCAAUUGUGGAACUUUCUUGCUAAAAUUUUUAAGAAUACUAUUUGGGUUAAACCAAUUAGUUCUUAUCAAUUAUAACGAUUAUCAAUUAACAAUCAAUUCAGAACUGGCACGGACUUGGGGAAUCCGACUGUCUAAUUAAAACAAAGCAUUGUGAUGGCCCUAGCGGGUGUUGACACAAUGUGAUUUCUGCCCAGUGCUCUGAAUGUCAAAGUGAAGAAAUUCAAGUAAGCGCGGGUCAACGGCGGGAGUAACUAUGACUCUCUUAAGGUAGCCAAAUGCCUCGUCAUCUAAUUAGUGACGCGCAUGAAUGGAUUAACGAGAUUCCUACUGUCCCUAUCUACUAUCUAGCGAAACCACAGCCAAGGGAACGGGCUUGGAAUAAUUAGCGGGGAAAGAAGACCCUUUUGAGCUUGACUCUAAUCUGGCAGUGUAAGGAGACAUAAGAGGUGUAGAAUAAGUGGGAGAUAUUAGACCUCGGUUUGGUAUCGUCAAUGAAAUACCACUACUCUUAUUGUUUCCUUACUUACUUGAUUAAAUGGAACGUGUAUCAUUUCCUAGCCAUUAUACGGAUAUAUUUAUUAUAUCUUAUGGUAUUGGGGUUUGAUGCAAGCUUCUUGAUCAAAGUAUCACGAGUUUGUUAUAUAAUCGCAAACAAAUUCUUAUAAAACGAUGCAUUUAUGUAUUUUUGAUUUGAAAAUUUGGUAUAACUCCAAUUACUCAGGUAUGAUCCAAUUCAAGGACAUUGCCAGGUAGGGAGUUUGACUGGGGCGGUACAUCUCUCAAAUAAUAACGGAGGUGUCCCAAGGCCAGCUCAGUGCGGACAGAAACCACACAUAGAGCAAAAGGGCAAAUGCUGACUUGAUCUCGGUGUUCAGUACACACAGGGACAGCAAAAGCUCGGCCUAUCGAUCCUUUUGGUUUAAAGAGUUUUUAACAAGAGGUGUCAGAAAAGUUACCAUAGGGAUAACUGGCUUGUGGCGGCCAAGCGUUCAUAGCGACGUCGCUUUUUGAUCCUUCGAUGUCGGCUCUUCCUAUCAUUGUGAAGCAAAAUUCACCAAGCGUUGGAUUGUUCACCCAUGCAAGGGAACGUGAGCUGGGUUUAGACCGUCGUGAGACAGGUUAGUUUUACCCUACUAAUGACAAAACGUUGUUGCGACAGCAUUCCUGCGUAGUACGAGAGGAACCGCAGGUACGGACCAAUGGCACAAUACUUGUUCGAGCGAACAGUGGUAUGACGCUACGUCCGUUGGAUUAUGCCUGAACGCCUCUAAGGUCGUAUCCGUGCUGGACUGCAAUGAUAAAUAAGGGGCAAUUUGCAUUGU